UAUAUCAGUUACCUGAACGCUUCACUUAGACCUCUAUAUAAGGAAAACAUAAACUCCUCUGAUAUCAGCUGGAACUACAGCAAAAACACAGACGGGUCUUACAGAGUCACAUCGUACCUUCACCUGUCUUCAAACAUAAGAGUGUACUACUGCUGGGUGAAUCACUCAACUCUGAGCCAACCCAUCAUUGUUAACAUUUCCUCCACUGAGUGCACUGACAGAGAAGAGAAAUUAACUGGAUUAGUUGUGCGUUUUUGGGUUGUUGGAAUCCUCUUCGGCUUAUUGAUUGGCAUUGCUUUGUUCAGCAAACUUUACUAUCAACAUCUCACUUCACACCAUCUCUGGUCUACUGCUGAUGCUAUUGUUAUAUCGGAACCUGUCUCAUUCUCUCCGGUUUAGUCUAUCAACAAGAUGAGCUGAAGCAAACACAUUCACUAAAAUAAAGAGCUUUUCACUACUUUGGAAGUGUCAUUACUAUCAUGUAACAGCUCAGGAUAUUACUCCUUCCUGCCAGCAGACGUCACACUUUCUAGUGCAACCUCUGCAGCCAUUUCCAGGUCACUGGAAACUCUUGCCAAAUUGAGAUUGUGUAAAUUAUGAGCCUUGUAUUUCUGCUGAUUGUCUAUGCUGUAUUUGUUUGGUCUUUGAAUGACCCUUUACCCUGUUUAUACUGUGUCUGCUUUUUUCUGUUUGUGAUUUGACUGUUUAUCUACUCUGGGUUUGGUUUGAUUUCAAAUUUAUAUGACUUGACUUCAUAAUAAAGUGCAUCUGCAUAUGUUAGAAGCACCCAAUCUGCAAUCCUGUCAUUAACUAUCUGUCCGUUGGUCCUCGCCAGGGCAUUAGGCAGCAUAUUUAUGGACCCGGCUGGACUUUGUGGACUUUUCAUGCUUAUGAAUACUUGAAUGUUCAUAUUUGUAAGUACCAAGUCGAAAGAUAUUAUGUGUGCAAAUUUUGAAGCGUAUAUAUGCACUGGAAGUACAGUGGAUUUAAAAAGUUACACCCGGUUAAAACUGUAGAUUUUUGUGAUAUAAACAAUGAAACCAAAAUAAAUCAGAAUACUUAUUUAUUUGUAAUAUUAGUGUGCAUUCAAGUGAUACACUACCAUGGUGUGGCUUCAGUGUGAUUUUCAUUUUUUGUGAUUUUGAAAAACGAACGUGCAACAGACUUUUUUGGGAAUUCUUGCCCCAUGGCCCUCUUUUAGUGCUUGAUGCACUGAGAUGUGAUAAGUGGGGCAGUGAGCUCGCCGCUCAGCAAUUGCAUAACAUCUAGGCAAGCAGAUCAACUGAAAAUUGGUCAAUGUGCGACACUUAUUAAAAUCACUCAAAGUAGGUCAAUUUUCCUU
Molecule: long non-coding RNA, 1342 nt
Organism: Ictalurus furcatus (blue catfish)
Lineage: Eukaryota; Metazoa; Chordata; Actinopteri; Siluriformes; Ictaluridae
Exons: 3
Source: RefSeq, a predicted model, not a curated record